Molecule: non-coding RNA, 29 nt
Filed under: Homo sapiens (human)
Lineage: Eukaryota; Metazoa; Chordata; Mammalia; Primates; Hominidae
Source: RNAcentral
UAGCCAACCUGCUAUAGAGAUACCUGAAA